This 75-nucleotide transfer RNA is filed under the name subsurface metagenome. RNAcentral's name for it is "tRNA-Thr". It matches the Rfam family "tRNA". Rfam says of the family: Transfer RNA (tRNA) molecules are approximately 80 nucleotides in length. The record is from RNAcentral.
GCCAGGAUAGCUCAGGUGGUUAGAGCGCGUCAUUGGUAAUGACGAGGUGGUGGGUUCAACUCCCGCUCCUGGCUC